GGGGGAUAUUGCACAAUGGAGGAAACUCUGAUGCAGCAACGCCGCGUGAGGGAAGACGGUUUUCGGAUUGUAAACCUCUGUCCUUGGUGACGAAACAAAUGACGGUAGCCAAGGAGGAAGCUCCGGCUAACUACGUGCCAGCAGCCGCGGUAAUACGUAGGGAGCAAGCGUUGUCCGGAUUUACUGGGUGUAAAGGGUGCGUAGGCGGCUCUGCAAGUCAGGUGUGAAAACUAUGGGCUUAACUCAUAGAUUGCACUUGAAACUGUGGAGCUUGAGUGAAGUAGAGGCAGGCGGAAUUCCCGGUGUAGCGGUGAAAUGCGUAGAGAUCGGGAGGAACACCAGUGGCGAAGGCGGCCUGCUGGGCUUUAACUGACGCUGAGGCACGAAAGCAUGGGUAGCAAAC
RNAcentral lists this ribosomal RNA (403 nucleotides) under uncultured bacterium. Its description in RNAcentral is "bacterial SSU rRNA". It matches the Rfam family "Bacterial small subunit ribosomal RNA", at positions 356 to 773 of the family's 1533-position model. The record is from RNAcentral.